AGACCGAAGGCGAGAAUGGAGC
This 22-nucleotide microRNA is filed under the name Picea abies (Norway spruce). RNAcentral's name for it is "pab-miR11427b". The record is from miRBase by way of RNAcentral. Lineage: Eukaryota; Viridiplantae; Streptophyta; Pinopsida; Pinales; Pinaceae.